GUUGUUUCAUUAUUUUUGGCCGCCGCUCUGUCUCUCUCCCAAAUUCAAGUUUAGUACUCUCUCUCUCCCAAAUUCAGGUCCUCUCUCUACCAGUUUCAAGCUCUCUCUCUUGGCCGCCUGCUCGCCCAAGGUUCAAAGUUAGAAUAUGAUCUCCAAAGACUCAAUCCAUCAAAGAAUGAAGCAAGAUUUCUUUAAAUACCUACCAUCAUAGAUCCUCACCGAUAUCUUGUUGAGACUCCCUCUCGAAUACAUUGCAACUUGCAAAUGCGUUUGCAAACCGUGGCUCAAUCUCAUUGAUAGUAACUAUUUUUUCAAGUCCCAUUUUUCUAAAUCCCCUCCUACCCUAGUAGUCUCGAUACCUGAUACUAAUUCAAAUUGGUUCAAUGUUUUCGAAUUGGAAGAGAAGCCCAAGCGCAAGCCGAAUCCAAUCACAAAGUUUGAUUUCCCCCAAGCGACAACAAUACAAGGUUCUUCCAAUGGUUUGCUUCUUCUGAAAAAUCCUUUUCGUGAUCAUCUUUAUGUAUGUAAUCCUAUCACCCGUGAAUUUGUUGAGCUUCGUGGCCGUCUUACUCGCCCUCGAGAAGAUUGUUAUGGAAUUGGAGUGAGCAAAAUUAGCGGACAACAUAAGGUUGUAUACCUUAACCCUAACUACGACGGAUGUCAUGUAUACACUCUUGAAUCGGGAUCUUCGUGGAGACGCGUUAAAGGUGUUAUCCCCUCGUUUGAUUGUUGUUACAGCUCCGUUGCUGCAUUUGUUAGUGGUAAUCUCCACUGGUUUGUUUCAAAUGGAAGCGAGACUCCUUAUAUUUGCUGCUUUGAUCUUGAGAAAGAAUGUUUUAGCACAUUCUCUCCCCCACUUGAAUGUCUCUAGAGAACUAUCUUUCUCCAUGGAAUGUUGUAUACUUUGGGGGAUUGUCUGUGUUUUUGUGAUGAUGAACCAAAAUAUGAAUGUGACAAUGAUCAUGUGAUCUGGUUAUUGAAGGAAUAUGAAGAAGUCGAGAAAUGUUGGUGCAAGGUACAUGUCUACAUUAGGAAACCACCUCUUUUACGGGUCCUCAUCAAACAUCCUUAUUAUGGUCAUGGUUUACACAAACGUCUUCAGCCUAUCAAUGUUUACGAGAAUGGAGACAUGUUGACGUUAUGGAAUGAGGAGCACUUUCUAUACUACUCUAACAAGAAGAAAAGUCUUACAAAAAUUGGUUUGUUUGGUAAGAUGGAUGAUGAUUCUUUGUGUAUUAAUUCCAUUCUUCUCACUCCAAGUUUUCUCUCACUCAAAAGACACUGUCGUAUGAAGAAUGUAAUUUCAUUUUAGUUUGUCACAAGACUUGUAAUUGACUUGUGCUGACCUUUUUAUUUAUUGAACUAUUAUUAAUGGAUUGUUUAGCUAAA
Salvia splendens (bonfire salvia) is the source of this 1389-nucleotide long non-coding RNA. RefSeq lists it as uncharacterized. The record is from RefSeq and is a predicted model, not a curated record. The transcript is spliced from 2 exons. Lineage: Eukaryota; Viridiplantae; Streptophyta; Magnoliopsida; Lamiales; Lamiaceae.